RNAcentral lists this long non-coding RNA (406 nucleotides) under Elaeis guineensis (African oil palm). Its description in RNAcentral is "long non-coding RNA (EGUI_LNC036303)". Lineage: Eukaryota; Viridiplantae; Streptophyta; Magnoliopsida; Arecales; Arecaceae. The record is from RNAcentral.
UGGGGCCCUUAAAACUCCACUUUAUAUUAAAUCUAAUCUCCUCAAGGUAUUCUCUGCAAGAAACUUGGAUGUUACGCUAUGAUUUUUCAAUUACAUUCCACAUAUGCAGUGACCGGAAGCUCUUGAUGUGAUAGGUUUCCUCCCUCUGUACCAAUGAAGCAUGUAUCUUCCACCUAUAGCUAAACUUGAAUACAACUAUUACCUGACUUCUUUCAUUCUACUUGUACAUAAAAUCAAAUCCUUUUUAAAUCCAUUAAAGCCACUGCACCUUCCUAGACAUGAUGAUGUUGCUGAAUCUCAUCCUAACCACAAGUUUGAUUUUCUAUUUAAUAUUUGAAGUUGCAUUAAAUUCGGGAUACUUUGAACCCCAAAUCCCAUCAUUUGAAUCAUUAUCACUAGCCAAGCU